AGAACUAUUUGCAGUCAAACCUACCCAACCCAUCCAGGAGCUGCUACACAUUGAGGAAGGGGCAGAAUGAAUGCUGGGAAGCAACUACAACGAACACUGCACAAUAUGGUUUCUAGUUUUAGGGUUUCUGAACUACAAGUAUUACUAGGCUUUGCUGGACGGAAUAAAAGUGGACGCAAGCAUGACCUCCUGAUGAGGGCGCUGCAUUUAUUGAAGAGUGGCUGCAGCCCUGCGGUUCAGAUUAAAAUCCGAGAAUUGUAUAGACGCCGAUAUCCACGAACUCUUGAAGGACUUUCUGAUUUAUCCACAAUCAAAUCAUCGGUUUUCAGUUUGGAUGGUAGCUCAUCACCUGUAGAACCUGACUUGGCCGUGGCUGGAAUCCACUCGUUGCCUUCCACUUCAGUUACACCUCACUCACCAUCCUCUCCUGUUGGUUCUGUGCUGCUUCAAGAUACUAAGCCCACAUUUGAGAUGCAGCAACCAUCUCCCCCAAUUCCUCCUGUCCAUCCUGAUGUGCAGUUAAAAAAUCUGCCCUUUUAUGAUGUCCUUGAUGUUCUCAUCAAGCCCACGAGUUUAGUUCAAAGCAGUAUUCAGCGAUUUCAAGAGAAGUUUUUUAUUUUUGCUUUGACACCUCAACAAGUUAGAGAGAUAUGCAUAUCCAGGGAUUUUUUGCCAGGUGGUAGGAGAGAUUAUACAGUCCAAGUUCAGUUGAGACUUUGCCUGGCAGAGACAAGUUGCCCUCAAGAAGAUAACUAUCCAAAUAGUCUAUGUAUAAAAGUAAAUGGGAAGCUAUUUCCUUUACCUGGCUAUGCACCACCGCCUAAAAAUGGGAUUGAACAGAAGCGCCCCGGACGCCCCUUGAAUAUUACAUCUUUAGUUAGGUUAUCUUCAGCUGUGCCAAACCAAAUUUCCAUUUCUUGGGCAUCAGAAAUUGGGAAGAAUUACUCUAUGUCUGUAUAUCUUGUACGGCAGCUUACAUCAGCCAUGUUAUUACAGAGAUUAAAAAUGAAAGGUAUUAGAAACCCUGAUCAUUCCAGAGCACUAAUUAAAGAAAAACUUACCGCAGAUCCUGAUAGUGAAAUUGCUACAACUAGCCUUCGGGUAUCCUUGAUGUGCCCUUUAGGAAAAAUGAGGCUGACAAUCCCAUGCCGUGCAGUGACUUGUACACAUCUACAGUGUUUUGAUGCUGCCCUUUAUCUACAAAUGAAUGAGAAGAAGCCCACCUGGAUUUGUCCUGUGUGUGACAAAAAAGCUGCCUAUGAAAGUCUAAUAUUAGAUGGGUAAGUAUAUCCCUUUUAACAGCUAAUAUGGACUAAUACAGCUUUGUUCACUACAACUUACUGAACUGAAUUCUGAAUAAAUUCUACUCUAGCAUAAA
This 1378-nucleotide small RNA is filed under the name Pongo abelii (Sumatran orangutan). RNAcentral's name for it is "retained intron". Lineage: Eukaryota; Metazoa; Chordata; Mammalia; Primates; Hominidae. The record is from RNAcentral.